Molecule: long non-coding RNA, 1430 nt
Filed under: Amborella trichopoda
Lineage: Eukaryota; Viridiplantae; Streptophyta; Magnoliopsida; Amborellales; Amborellaceae
Description: long non-coding RNA (ATRI_LNC005455)
Source: RNAcentral
AUGGAAACAGAUGAUGCAGUCGUAAGUUCUAAAAAUACAGAAAUAGGGGAAGGGGAAGAAAAGAUACCCUAGUCCCCCUCUCUCUCUCUACCCACAUUUUGAUAUACAAAGUACCCACUAAGGGAGACUUGAUGGCCACAAUCUGUGGGCCAAUUCCAUGGAGGUGUUUAAAUGCCCUUGAUAAACAGCAUACUAUGUAUACAGAUCAAGAUGACUAGUGCUCGAAUGUCUACUCUCCGGUAACGGUAUCUGCAUCCGACAGAAAGGGAUCAGUACAUAAAGAAUCUCUCUCUUUCUCUCCCUCCAAUAAUGCUAUCGUAUACCAGCAGCAGCCAAUAACAGCACAGCAGAUGCCUGUAUUGUUAUUUCCUAUGCUGUGUUGUAUUCAAACUUCUCCUCAAACCAUUCUUCAUUUCCUAUUUUUAAAGAUAUGUUUCAGUCUCUCAUAUUUGAGCAUGCUGAUCAAAGAUGGUAUUUGGUAAUCAGCUAUGAAAGGAUCGGUAUUGAUUUGUCAGUUUGGAAACACCGAGUUUCCGAACAUAAUCUUUACUCACCUCUCUCGGUCUCCUCGCAUCCCUCUGGUGUUCGCCCUGAACCAGGCAUCACCAAACUUAACUUUGAUGGUUGCUCACUUGGCAACCCUCGCCUCGCCCUACUCUGCUGGAAUAGGCGGAGUCUUCAAAGACCUCCCUCUUCUCCAAGCACAUAGGCCUAGCGGAUUCUCACAAGUGGAGGCCCUAGCGCUCCUUGACCCCAACUGGAGCCAGCCCCGCGUUUAUGGUGGAGGGGGACUCCAAAAAUGUCCUCUCUUGGAGACUUUCCCAUGUUUUUGACGAGAACGCCCGAAAUCUGCAGACCCAUCCAAAUCUCUUAGAAUCAUCUUUUGCGUUGCGGGAGUGAAAACCUCCAGUCUAAGUCUCGAAUGAGUAAACCUCUCAGGCUGGUGUGCGUGUCUUCCCUCUUAGCAUCCACCUGAAGCUAGGGUCUGCUACCUCUAAGCUUCGUCAGCCCAUCCAUCUUCUAUGUACCAGGAGUAAUAAAUUCUCUUAAACUUAUCUCCCAAUGAUUUCUCUGCAUAUAUAAGUGCAUGAGUCUCGCCACAUUCUUGCAGCUCCUUCCUAGCCUGAGGUGUGGGUAAGCCUGUAACUGCUGCAAUAUUCUUGCAGCUCCUUCCUAGCCUGAGGUGUGCGUAAGCCUGCAACUCCUGCAGUGGAGUGAAAGGGUACGGGGUACCACUACGUGGCUAAGUAAGGGAUCCGGUCUUCUUUGAGGGAAAACCUGAAUCCCCAGAAGCAACCAGAGAUAAACUACAUUAGGAAAUAUGAAGUGAACCCUCUCUUUGUUUUAGGGUUUUCUUAUGAUAUAAAAGACAUCAGAUCUCAAAAUUUUAGGGUUUAGGGGUCCCUCCCACUUUUUGGUUUAUUUUACCC